UACGGAGGAUCCGAGCGUUAUCCGGAUUUAUUGGGUUUAAAAGGGUGCGCAGGCGGGAGAUUAAGUCGGCGGUGAAAUUUUGCAGCUCAACUGUAAAAGUGCCUUCGAAACUGGUUUCCUUGAGUGUAGAUGAAGUAGGCGGAAUUUGUGGUGUAGCGGUGAAAUGCAUAGAUAUCACGAGGAACUCCGAUUGCGCAGGCAGCUUACUAAACCAUAACUGACGCUCAUGCACGAAGGCGUGGGGAUCAAACAGGAUUAGAUACCCU
RNAcentral lists this ribosomal RNA (266 nucleotides) under uncultured prokaryote. RNAcentral's name for it is "partial 16S ribosomal RNA". It matches the Rfam family "Bacterial small subunit ribosomal RNA", at positions 524 to 788 of the family's 1533-position model. The record is from RNAcentral.